AACCUUCCCAUAACUCAGGGAUAGCCUUUCGAAAGAAAGAUUAAUACCUGAUAGUACUUUCUACAAGGCAUCUUAGAAAAAGUUAAAGAUUUUAGUUGGUUAUGGAGUGGGGAUGCGUUCCAUUAGAUAGUUGGUGAGGUAACGGCUCACCAAGUCUUCGAUGGAUAGGGGUUCUGAGAGGAAGGUCCCCCACAUUGGUACUGAGACACGGACCAAACUCCUACGGGAGGCAGCAGUGAGGAAUAUUGGUCAAUGGGCGAGAGCCUGAACCAGCCAAGUAGCGUGAAGGAAUGAAGGUCCUAUGGAUUGUAAACUUCUUUUAUAGUAGAAUAAAGUGAGCCACGUGUGGUUUUUUGUAUGUAUACUAUGAAUAAGGAUCGGCUAACUCCGUGCCAGCAGCCGC
RNAcentral lists this ribosomal RNA (403 nucleotides) under uncultured bacterium. RNAcentral's name for it is "bacterial SSU rRNA". It matches the Rfam family "Bacterial small subunit ribosomal RNA", at positions 123 to 518 of the family's 1533-position model. The record is from RNAcentral.